Long non-coding RNA from Hypomesus transpacificus, 1082 nucleotides. RefSeq lists it as uncharacterized. NCBI's taxonomy places the organism in Eukaryota, Metazoa, Chordata, Actinopteri, Osmeriformes, Osmeridae. The record is from RefSeq and is a predicted model, not a curated record. The transcript is spliced from 2 exons.
AAGAACAUUUUUUACAUGAUUAAGAUUAUUAUUGUUUUAACAAAUGAAUACGAUCAGAUAUUAUUUCUCAGAUCAGAAUCAACUAAUUAAAUGCCGUUUCAAAUUAUAUGGUGAAAUAAUAAAAUACAAUGGAAAGUGCAUGAUUUUUGAUUGGCCGAUUGACUCUGAAAACUAGCUAUUCACAAGCGACAACUUGCUUCUGAAUGGUCAUUUCAAGUAAUUGACAGUUGCCGUUGCCAAUGCUCAUCCAUAUCCUGUCUGGCUAAAGAUCCUACUGUAGGACUGUAGAGCUACAAAUGAGCAACGGACAGCGACGUUGAAGAGAACUGUUCAACAUCGAGUGAGCAGAGCGUUGAAGAUUCUUCCUGGUGAUCUGCUGCCCAUCAUCAACAGUGUUUGGGACUUCUGUGUGCUUCUUCUCACUUCCUGCUAUAACAACCAUUCUCCAUUCCACAAAUAUAGCUGUUGUUUCUACUCAUUUGUCAAUUGUGUACAGCAAUCAAGUGCCAAGAGGGUGUGGGUUUUCAUUCAAACAACCACUAUACCAGCUGAUUUUACAAUUGAAUUGCUGCUCUUUAUUAAACGGGAGCCACAAAGUGAAAUCAGAUGGUGUAGUCGUGCUUGGUUACGUAAAUGUUUUUCAAAGUUAUGUAAAUGUUUUUUUAGCACGGUAGGCAAUUUGGUGACAACCUGGCUGGUGUGUCACUGACUAUCCAAUGUUAUCAAUCCAUAUAGCCUCCCUAUUAUAAUUGCACAUCCUCAUUACAAUUUCCAGAGGGCUUCUCUCAUAAGCUCCGCUAAGGAUAUCCCUCCUGGAAUAUGCACAUUCAUGUUUGUUAGUUCAGACUGUCAAUAAAUCUGCCAUCUUACAAGUUUAAUGCAGUUGACUGGCUUGAUAUUGCACAGGUUUUGCAUCCCUUAUGUAAGAGCCAUUUUCAUUGGUUUAUAUUUCGCAUCAAUUUGCACACACCGCAACACUCAUGGGAAUGUAAAAAUGUUUGUUGAUGGAGCUUGAUGGACACAUGUACUUGCAUGUUCAAUGGAAGAACAUUGUGAUCAAUAAAGGGCCAUCAAAACACGGA